UACGAAGGGGGCUAGCGUUGCUCGGAAUGACUGGGCGUAAAGGGCGCGUAGGCGGUUUGGACAGUCAGGCGUGAAAUUCCCGGGCUUAACCUGGGGGCUGCGCUUGAUACAUCCAGGCUUGAGUGGGGAAGAGGGUCGUGGAAUUCCCAGUGUAGAGGUGGAAUUCGUAGAUAUUGGGAAGAACACCGGUGGCGAAGGCGGCAUCCUGGACCGACACUGACGCUGAGGAGCGAAAGCCAGGGGAGCAAACGGG
RNAcentral lists this ribosomal RNA (253 nucleotides) under uncultured bacterium. RNAcentral describes it as "partial 16S ribosomal RNA". It matches the Rfam family "Bacterial small subunit ribosomal RNA", at positions 524 to 776 of the family's 1533-position model. The record is from RNAcentral.